GGCGAGGGACACGUUUAGUGCGGGGGAGCCGGUGGGGCGGCCCCUCGUAGGGACCCCUCACACCGGCCCCUCACACAGACCCCUCACAGGGACCCCUCACCCACACAACCCCGGUUCCAGAACAUUCCACACAGCCUGGAGUCCGCGGCCUCCCCGCCCCGAGGAGCCUCAGUGCCGGGGGCUGUGUGUGGCACCCCUGGGUGAGUGACACCCAUCCGGAGCACCCCCAUCCCGCUGUCCCCAGCUCUGUCCGCACUGUGUCACCCCCUGCGCUGUGGCAGAUUAACAGGAGGGUUUGGGACAGCUCUCCAGAGCUGGUGGUGUUGAGGCCGGGUGCCCAGGAACAUGAGGUGGCACCACUGUGGCACCUUGAGGGACCUCCCUGAGCACUGCUCGCAGUGCAUUGACAGUAAUGGAGCAUUCCAAGGCAUGAUGAGGCCUCAACAGCUUGCCAGGACCUUGAGAAAAGUGCUUGAGUGGCACAUUUGCUGGGGGAAGGGAUGGCUGGAAAUGUUUUCCACCCAUUGUAACACUGGAGCAAUCACACUGGAACAAUCACACUGGAACUUCACUGUGUGUCAUCGAGCACCUGGGGCUGCCCCAAGCCCUGGGAUCUGUCUGAGCCACAGAGACGGAGGUGCAGCAGCAGUGCUGAGUGCCAGGCAGCUUUUGCCCUGGCAAGAGAAGCUGAGACGCCCGUAGGAUCAUUGGGAUGGGGCAGGGAAUUGGGUGGCCACCACCCAAACGCCAUGUGGAAUAACACUGCAGGACAGAAAGCAGCUGCUAGCUCAACACCUCACUUUGUGUACAUCAGCAUCACAGUUCAGUAGAGAUUCCUCUGUGGACUGACCCACAACCCACAUGCUUGACUGUAUAUGCAUUCCUUGUUGGAAUAAGCAUGGAGGGCAAGAGCUGGCAUCAUCUCAUGCAGCCCACCUGCCUCAGUGGUGCUCCAAGGAAAGGUUCCCAGUGACCAGUUCUGACCCUCUAAGCAGCAGGUGAGAAUCAAGACAUGCAAAGAACCACUUAUAUUUUGAAAAACCAUAUAAACUUGAUCCCAGCAAAA
This is a long non-coding RNA of Parus major (Great Tit), 1066 nucleotides long. RefSeq lists it as uncharacterized. NCBI's taxonomy places the organism in Eukaryota, Metazoa, Chordata, Aves, Passeriformes, Paridae. The transcript is spliced from 2 exons. The record is from RefSeq and is a predicted model, not a curated record.